Non-coding RNA from Schizosaccharomyces pombe (fission yeast), 2225 nucleotides. The record is from the annotation of a GenBank genome assembly. Lineage: Eukaryota; Fungi; Ascomycota; Schizosaccharomycetes; Schizosaccharomycetales; Schizosaccharomycetaceae.
AAUAAUUUCAAUUCUGGAACUUUGGAAAUAUUGUAAAGAAACAAAAAAAUAAAAUACCGAUACGUAAUCAAAUAACUUAUCAUGGAAAAAAAAACUGUUUUUUAAAAAGAUGAUUUUUACAGUUCUAGCCUAAAUUAUUUCAACCUGGUUGAGCAAUCCUUGUCUUAAAGUCUUUCGGCAUAAAGUUGAACAGAAGACCUUUUGGAACCCUUUCUUGAAAUUUCUGUUGUAGGUUUAGAGUGAUCCCCUUUCAUAAAACCAAAAACCUUAAUAAAAUUUCGUUAGUUGUGAUAAUCAUUUUUUGACAAUCAAGAUACACUUACCAUGUCUGGCGAUGAAUGUGCUAAUCCAAAAAUGAUCCUUUUGUUAUGGGAAUUUGAGGUUUCAACUUUAGCAAAGAUGAUUCCAACUUGCAAAUCUGAAUAUAAUGUUGCAGAUGGAUGUUCUUAACAGUUAGAACAAGUACGGGAUACGAACGCACAAGUCAAUAAGCUUACCAUGAAAGUCAUUAAUUAAUUUAUUUAAAGAUGAUACAACAUUAUCCUCGGAAACUAAAAGUUGUGAAGAACGACAAGCAAAACAAGUGUUGCUAAUAUGUUCACCAGUUCCAGAGGUAGCAACAGCACAAGUAGAGGAAUGAGACUUAUUAUCAAAGCUUUCAAUCCAAAAACCAUGCCCUGGUAUCGGAGAAGAUCCGAUCCUCCCUGCUGGUUUAAGUAAUAAUCCUCCACUGCUGCUUACAACGGCAAUUCUACCAUUUUUAUCCACGCAUAUUACGCCAAUGGUAUCUUGCGAAGAGAGAUUGAUUGGAUUUUGGUAAAGGAUUUCUUUCCAUUUUAUUUGAGUUUUCAUAGAUCUCUCAGUUAUGAGAUGUGAUUCUGGAACAAGUUUUAUGUUACUAUGAAGGAGAAGUUUCUCUAUUCCGUUCCCAACAAGCAUUGCAGGAGGUACCAGUCCAUGUUGGCUCAUUACCUUUCUUUUGUUUAAAAUAUAUAAACAUGCUUCUGAAGGAUGCCUACAGCAAUUGCAACAAGCAACACUUGCAGUUAAACCACUUUCAGAAUCCAUGACUCCAGCCUCACACUCAACUUUUCCAUCAAUGUUUAAAUUAGAACCUACACCAGCGUUUGUCACUGGACUAUCCUCCAUAAUUUUUGCUGCCUGAAUAGCAGCAGAUAAGGCAGAUUGGCCAACUUUAAGAGCCUGAAUAGCAGCUUUACAAGCACUGAAAGUUAGUUUAUUAAUAACUUUCAGUAAAUACUUACUCAGAACAGGUUUUUUUGGCUUGGAUUUCCCGUUGACCACUGUAUAAGCCAGCGCCAGCAUGUAAAAUUACCAAGCCAUUAGACAUUAUUGCAGCAAGUAUUUUUGUAUGACUAAGAUAAGUUCUUAAGAUUCCUGUAAUAUAACCUUUAGCAUACUUGUUCAACAACGAGAAGCAGUGUCGUUACGAUCCAUGUGGUGGAAUAGUAAGCGCACCAACGUGUUAGCAGCAAACAUUGUAUUCGAUAACUCAAAGGUUUAUAUUACGAAUUUAUAAUAAUACGUAUUUAUUCUUUGUACACUGUAAAAGCUAAUAAUUACAGAACGUUGGAGAUGAUGCAUACUGACCGGCAGAAAGAGUAGCUAUUAAAAAUCUAAUUAAAAGUUUAUAUUAAUACAUUAGAAUACUUAGGUCAAAAUAAAAUAGCAUUAUGUGCUCAAACGAACGGAUCAGGUUCAUUCAUACCAAUACUGUUAAUUUAUGGUACUAUAAAUUAAACCUUUUUCUCUCUUUUUAAAUUAUUUAAUAACCUUACGGUGAAGUGCCCAUUCAUAAACAGACCAAGUAAUUGUAGAUGAAAUAGAUUUUCGAAGUACACGAAGGAAGAAUCCAUCAAGGAAUCCUCUAAAUCCUUCAUUGGCAUAUACAAGUUUUGCAGAAUGCAAAAAGUUUUUGUAUAUAUGAGGUUCUAAUUGAACACGAGUUUUGAGCAUAUCAAAUGGGUUUGUGAUAGCUGUUGCAGUAGCACCUGAAAUGAGACCCGACAUUACAUUGACAAUAUUGCGAUGCGGCACAGUGCCUUGCACCGAAGAGGAUGGACUGAAUCGAUCAAAGAGUUUAUGCAAGUUUUGCUUAGAAAGUUCAUAAAAAUAUACGUAUAGCCCAGCAUGAGGUGCAUCUCUUAAUGCGGUGACUCCAAAUCCUCUAAAAAAACCAGAUAUACCUUCUUUUUUCCAAAUAU